This is a non-coding RNA of Paramuricea clavata, 281 nucleotides long. Lineage: Eukaryota; Metazoa; Cnidaria; Anthozoa; Malacalcyonacea; Plexauridae. The record is from the annotation of a GenBank genome assembly.
GCAUUGUGCACUUGUGGUAGCUUUAUUGCAGUUUUGUACAAUUUUACAAGCAAUUUAUUUAGUAUUAUCGAAAUGAACGACGUAGAUUUCGAAAAGGUUAGACCGUUAUUUGAAAGUGACGAUAAGGAAUGCUUACUGGUGUUCUGUGGAGAAUAUUUCAAGCAGAUAAAUUCGAUGGAUGCAAGAAAAUUGUCUUGGCCGAAAUUAUCUAGCUGAGAUGUGUUGAUUUCUCGAAUUCUCGUCGUCUUUCAGGAGAUUAUAAAGAGGUGUAUGGCAAUAAG